CUUCCAGCAGUGCAAAGGACAAAAGGCAACUCCAGCCCUGUGCUGACAUGACCUCACUCUCCCAUGCACUGGCUAAGAAGACAGGUCACACCAUACCUUCCCAUUUGCCCUUGGGGCAGGACGUUGUUGGCCCUCCAUAAACUCCAGGGUUGUUUUUUGUGGUCCUAUCAAGCAAAGGUUUGGAAGAAAGCCUGGCAUUGCUCAGAAAACUUAUUUUCAGAGUGAGGCUUUGAAGCAUGUGACAAUGGACUGUUAAGAUGGCUCCGUGAGGAAAGCUGUUUGCUGCCAAGCCUGGUGAGCUGAGUUCCAACCUGGAACCUGGAGGAGGAAACUGAUGCCCAAAACCUGUCCUCUGACCGUCACAUGUGUGCAUACCCUCACUCCACCCCCAAAUAAAUAGAGAUAAAGUAAUUUAAAUAAAU
RNAcentral lists this long non-coding RNA (422 nucleotides) under Cricetulus griseus (Chinese hamster). RNAcentral describes it as "lncRNA (ENSCGRG00015041151.1)". The record is from RNAcentral. Lineage: Eukaryota; Metazoa; Chordata; Mammalia; Rodentia; Cricetidae.